AAUGAUAAACAAUAACAAACGCGUAGGUAAGCGACAUUCUUUAAGAUUAUUGUUGUCGUAAUGAUGGUGAUGACUCAUCAGCGGGUUCUUUCACGUUUCUGUCCGCCGAGUUCAAGUUGUAUGCGCCUGCUGCCACCAGCGGGGCGCUGAGCUGCCUCGCCUUCUGGAUCGCAGCGGCGAGAGUCGCCCUUGAAGUUAUUACAGGUGAGUCGUGACAGACGGACGGACAGACAGACCAAUAACAGACAGACAGACCAAUAACGGACAGACAGAUCAAUAACGGACUGACAGACCAAUAACGGACACACUGACCAAUAACGGACAGACAGACCAAUAACAGACAGACGGACCAAUAAUGGACAGACAGACCAAUAACAGACAGACAGACCAAUAACAGACGGACGGACCAAUAAUGGACAGACAGACCAAUAACGGACAGACAGACCAACAUACAAUAACGGACGGACGAACCAAUAACGAAUAGACAGACCAAUAACGGACGGACGGGCGGGCAGUCAGACCAAUAACGGACGGACAGACAGACGUCCGUCAGACGGAUGGAAAGACAGACAAACGGAGAGACGGACCAACGGGAGGUCAGACGGACAAACAGAGCAGUCAGAUGGUUAUAUAAACAGAAGAACAGAGAGACGUCCAUGCAAACUGAAGGGCGGACAGUCGAAAACAGAGACAGAUGGACGAACAGACAAACAGAUCUUGUAUCAGCAUUUAUGAUUACUUUAUUUGUUCGGUUUCAGUAUUAGCCAUGAGUAACUUCAUCUCUGGUGGUAUGGGUCCCAAAGCCUCAUACGCUACCGCUAUGGAUGUCUACAUGUUCACGUGUUUGUGUUUGUAGCCUUCUUAGAAUACGCCCUCAUGCACCACCAGAUAUAUUCCAACAAAUGCCAGUGUGCGGCUGACGGACGUUACUCAAGAAAUAGGAACAAAUAACAAAGCGAUAACCGACGACAUAAGAAAGGAAAAAGACCUUGAACACGCAUUAGAAAACACCGGUCUUAGGGGCGAUACGAGCCAUGGUCUUAGCGGCGAUACGAGGGUCUUAGCGGCGAUACGAGGCAUGGUUUUAGCGGUGAUACGAGGAAUGGUCUUAGCGGUGAUACGAGGCAUGGUCUUAGCGGCGAUACGAGGCAUGGUCUUAGCGGCGAUACGAAGCAUGGUCUUAGCGGCGAUACGAAGCAUGGUCUUAGCGGCGAUACGAGGGUCUUAGCGGCGAUACGAGGCAUGGUUUCAGCGGCGAUACGAGGCAUGGUUUUAGCGGUGAUACGAGGAAUGGUCUUAGCGGCGAUACGAACAUGGUCUUAGCGGCGAUACGAGGAAUGGUCUUAGCGGCGAUACGAGGCAUGGUCUUAGCGGCGAUACGAGGAAUGGUCUUAGCGGCGAUACGAGGGCCUUAGCGGCGAUACGAGGCAUGGUUUUAGCGGCGAUACGAGGAAUGGUCUUAGCGGCGAUACGAGGCAUGGUCUCAGCGACGAUACGAGGCAUGGUCUUAGCGGCUAUACGAGGAAUGGUCUUAGCGGCGAUACGAGGAAUGGUCUUAGCGGCGAUACGAGGAAUGGUCUUAGCGGCGAUACGAGGCAUGGUCUUGACUCUCACAAGACUGUGGACCCUAUGACGCAUGCGCGGAUUCAAGAUGCCAGCAGUCCAGGCAUUAGGGACAUGCGCAAUACAGACUUGUGUCGGGGUAACGAAAACGAAAACGAGGCGCGGUGAAACCGGAUGUGACGUCAGCGCAGUGAAUGGUCAUGAGCACAAGGACUCCAUGCAAAAAAGUGGCGUAACUUGGCGCCAAAAUAACCGCCGUAGAUUGCGGAAGGGUCAUUUCACUGAUGAAGCGAAAAGCGGAGCGUUGUAUUCUGGCAAGGGGACUGCUCCGAUGGAACAUGUGUGCUGGUAUUCACGUUUAGGCGAGUACAGCAAAACAUUGUUUCCGAUGAGCUUUGGGCAUUUUAUUUGAUCCUGGAGUGAGAUUGUAAUCGUACUGACAGCUACUUUAAGUAGAAGCGCAUUUUACAUUAUAGGUUUAAAAAGAGAAAAUAUACUGUGACGUCACGCAGCCUAGUCCAAGGCGUUCUUACCCGGUUUCCUGUGGUUGGGUUUCCUGUGGAUGGUAAGAGUUGUGACGUCACAGGAGACAAUAGUUCGUCCCAGCCCCCAAGCUGUCUCACGGCUCAUCUCCGAGCUUAGGAGAGAAGCCUGGGACUUUGCUGACUGUCACGCAUUUUUCUAAAAAUCUGUACAUUGCAGGGUAUAUACAUUAUAUUCUACUUCCAUCCCGUACCAUUGUCAGUGUUUCCGUACUGUUUAAAAUCUGACAGUAAAUCUAAGCUAAGGAACUCUAUUCUUUUUUUUUUU
Molecule: long non-coding RNA, 2373 nt
Organism: Nematostella vectensis (starlet sea anemone)
Lineage: Eukaryota; Metazoa; Cnidaria; Anthozoa; Actiniaria; Edwardsiidae
Exons: 2
Source: RefSeq, a predicted model, not a curated record